AUACGUAGGUGGCAAGCGUAGUCCGGAUUUACUGGGUGUAAAGGGCGUGUAGGCGGAGAUGCAAGUCAGGAGUGAAAUCUAGGGGCUCAACCCCUAAACUGCUUUUGAAACUGUAUCCCUUGAGUAUCGGAGAGGCAGGCGGAAUUCCUAGUGUAGCGGUGAAAUGCGUAGAUAUUAGGAGGAACACCAGUGGCGAAGGCGGCCUGCUGGACGACAACUGACGCUGAGGCGCGAAAGCGUGGGGAGCAAACAGGAUUAGAUACCCUGGUAGUCCACGCUGUAAACGAUGAAUACUAGGUGUGGGGGGACUGACCCCCUCCGUGCCGCAGUUAACACAAUAAGUAUUCCACCUGGGGAGUACGAUCGCAAGAUUGAAACUCAAAGGAAUUGACGGGG
Molecule: ribosomal RNA, 396 nt
Filed under: uncultured bacterium
Lineage: Bacteria
Description: partial 16S ribosomal RNA
Rfam family: Bacterial small subunit ribosomal RNA
Source: RNAcentral